GGAGGUGUAGCUCAGUGGCACAGCUCCUGCCUGGCAAGCGCGAGGUCAUGAGUUCUAUUCCCAAUACCCCUC
RNAcentral lists this transfer RNA (72 nucleotides) under Cavia porcellus (domestic guinea pig). It matches the Rfam family "tRNA". Rfam says of the family: Transfer RNA (tRNA) molecules are approximately 80 nucleotides in length. Their secondary structure includes four short double-helical elements and three loops (D, anti-codon, and T loops). The record is from Rfam by way of RNAcentral. Lineage: Eukaryota; Metazoa; Chordata; Mammalia; Rodentia; Caviidae.